Molecule: ribosomal RNA, 433 nt
Filed under: uncultured bacterium
Lineage: Bacteria
Description: partial 16S ribosomal RNA
Rfam family: Bacterial small subunit ribosomal RNA
Source: RNAcentral
AACGAACGCUGGCGGCAUGCCUAACACAUGCAAGUCGAACGAGACCUUCGGGUCUUGUGGCGCAUGGGUGCGUAACGCGUGGGAACCUUCCCUUAGGUUCGGCAUACCUCCCCGAAAGGGGUGCUAAUACCGGAUAAUGUCUUCGACCCAAAGAUUUAUCGCCUUUGGAUGGGCCCGCGUUGGAUUAGCUAGUUGGUAGGGUAAAAGCCUACCAAGGCGACGAUCCAUAGCUGGUCUGGGAGGAUGGUCAGCCACACUGGGACUGAGACACGGCCCAGACUCCUACGGGAGGCAGCAGUGGGGAAUAUUGGACAAUGGGCGAAAGCCUGAUGCAGCAAUGCCGCGUGAGUGAUGAAGGCCUUAGGGUUGUAAAGCUCUUUUACCCGGGAUGAUAAUGACGGUACCGGGAGAAUAAGCUCCGGCUAACUCCGUG